Molecule: long non-coding RNA, 3208 nt
Organism: Felis catus (domestic cat)
Lineage: Eukaryota; Metazoa; Chordata; Mammalia; Carnivora; Felidae
Exons: 3
Source: RefSeq, a predicted model, not a curated record
AUAAAGUAGCUAUGCCCACUGUUAACAGGUGGAGUCAACUGGGGUUCCACACCUGACCAAUCGCAGAGCUCAGAAUCUGGCCACCAAAUUUGUGACAGCAAUGUCUGUCCCCAAUGGAUGAUAUAAUCUUUAGGCAGCUGUUUGCAACCUCAAGACCACAAGGAAGGCAGAAGUGCUUUUCACAGAAAAGAAAGUGAAAGAAAAGGCACACGCCGGUUGGGUGGGUCCGGGGCGGUGACAGUGGACCGGCGAAGCUGGGGAGAGCUGCGCCGUGCUUCUCUGGGCCCGGACACGCGAAGAACUUGUGCACCAACUUGUGGCUGUGCGAACAGAACCCAAGCGAUCGGGAGGCCGGGAAGCCGAGGUCGGCCGGGAGCCCGGCAGCCCGACCCGCUUCCUGGCCCCCUUCCUCCGGGAGAAUGUCAAGAGACCAAGCCAGCUGGAAAAAUGAUCUUUCCAACAGACAUGUGAUAGCCUCAACCCAAACCAAAGAAGGUCUAAAGCUUGUGAUGAUAAGUGGAGAUGUUAUUUAUUUCCAGAAUUCUGUGGUUUCCACCAUUUUGACACUUGAUAUUUACCAGAUGGCAUACACUCAAGAUUAAUGAAAGGAGAAUUCUUCUGAGAAAUUUGGAGACUCAUGGAUUAUAAGCCACUGGAAAUAUUCUUUGCUUUUGCUGCAAAAUGAGACAGCAGCAGGGAGGCAGCCAGCCAGUUUCUUCAUGCUCUCUAGAGUACCUAGAGUCCUUCUCUUUGUCACAUGGUUUCAGGACCUUCACUCAGAGCUUCAAGGUGAAAAUUUGAAUCUUAUAAUUUUACCCAGAAAGGUGGCACUAAUCAAGUUCAGAAGACUUAUUUAUAAAACUGGAAUUAUAAUUAUUUAAUUUGCAAAGAGGAAGCUAAUUGCCAUGGCUGUGGGUAAUAGAGAGCUCUGUAGCUGCCUAUUAUGAGAUUGUUUGGUGAGCAUACUCAGACCAGAAAACAACUGGCUCAUGUAAAAGUAUAGGAAGUUUCUUUUUCACUCUAGAAGGCAUAGUGUAGUGGUUAUGCAGACCAACUCCAAAGUUAGUCCUGGCAGGGUUCAAAUCCCACUUUACCACUGACCAGCCAUUGAUCUUGGUCAACAUUCCCCCUUAUGUCUCAGUGUCCUUACCUGUAAUUAUGGAUGAUGACAAUAUUAGGGUUCCUGUGCGGUGGGUCAAGUAAAAUAAUCCACACAAAGCACUUAGCACCUUCUUGGCACAUAGUGAAGACUCAAAAAAUGAUAGCUAUCAUCAUUAUCCACUUAGGACAGACCACUUGAAAGUUUACCUCACCCAAUCAGUGCUACAAUCUGAGACAGAUAUUACAUACCCUCAUCUUAUAAAUGAGGAAACUGAGAUCUUUUCACGGCAUAGUCUGUUGAUAAACUCUCACCAACCCUGUCAGGAUACCUAUUCUCAUGGUUGGAUGGCGCCAUAUAAACUUUGGAGCCCUUUAAAUCUUUCUUCUCUGAGUUCCUUUCCCUAUCCAACUGGUUUCCCAGCCUCCUUGCACACUGUCUCUUGUACAUGCCCUUUCCUUUUCAUUCCCACAGUCAACUCGUCUUUCAGCACUCCCAGUCACCCCUCUCACCCUCCUGUCUGUUCUCUCCAUAGCUAUUUGAUGCAUAUUUAUCAGGUGCUCCCUACUGCCUGCAGCAUAAAGCCCAAAAAAGUGUGAGCUUACAAAGUCUUACAUCAUCUGGCCCCAAAUCUCUUUCCAGCCCUGUCUCUUAUCAUUAAUACUCUCUGUUCGCUAAAUUGGACUGCUUUCUGACCUUUUGCAAUUCUGUGUGUUUUCUUAAAUAUUUACCCACCUAGAAUGCUUACUGCCUUCUUUUCCCCUAUCCCAGAUUCAUCCCUUAUCCUCUUUGUAAAGACUCUACUAACCAGUCCAGUCUAAAGGAUUCCUGCUUUUUUUUGAAAUGCUAUAGCAAUUACUAAUUGUAUUUUUAACACAGUUUCUUUUGAUUAUCUUGAACGAUAUAAACAUUAAGACUAUUUUGCUGUUUUACAUGUUAAUAUAUUGCUUCCCCAAACUGUGUAGGAAUCAGUAAGCAGGGAGCAGGGUGAAAAUGGGCUGAAUCUUGUUUUUUUGGAAAGCUUACUGACUUUUUUUUUUUAGUUUAUUUAUUUAUUUUGAGAGAGAGAGAGAGGCAGAGAGAGAGGGAGAGAGGGAAACCCAAGCAGUGCAGAGCCCAAUGUAGGGCUCAAUCCCAUGACUGUAAGACCAUGACCUGAGCUGAAAUCAAGAGUCAGAUGCUUAACCAACUGCCCUGUGGAAGGCUCACUGACUUUUCCCUGCAGGAAUCUUCUCAGGUCCUGAGAUUAGUUUAUGUUAACUAACCUCAUACAAGACUGAGGUGGACCCAUGAUAGUGAGAAAUGUAACUGUUAUGUGGCCCAAAGACAUAUACACCUUUUAAUUUACAAUGAAGAGCUCCCAAGGAACCAGACUACUCAAAAUCCACAUGAGCAAAGCAUUCUGCCCUCUAAAUUUGAAUACAAAAUAGGAGUAAAUAGAAUUGGAUGAAUUGAAUAUUUAACAUCUGUUGGCAUCAGGUCAUGACCCCAUCUCACCAAGGGGAUGGCCUCAGCAAGCUUUGGAGAUCCCCAUACCCCUAGAAUGGCUUGAGUGGACACUGCCUACCUUCACUUCAAUGACCUUCCUUUGUUUAGGGCUUUGUUAGACCUUUUUUAGGCCUUUGUUAGACCAGAAUCUGCACCCCCUUCCUGCCCCCGCCCUUCAGAUGGACCCAUUCUUUCUUUAGGUAUGUUAAUCAAGUCAGAACAAUUACUCUCAGUUCCUGCGAGCCUAAAAGAUACUCUUUCUUCCUCAGUGGUCUCUUUCAGAGUUCUGUUUUUGUUUCCAUCUGUCUAGCUAUCUUUCUGUUUCCGCUUCUACCUUUCAUUCUGACUCUCCCUUCUGUUUGCUCAUUUUCGUAGCCCUACUCUGACUCAUCAUAUGUUAACUUAACAGUAGUGGGUGAUAUAUUUCCUUAAUUUCUAAGUUUUGGGGCUCACCCCAUUACAAUAUCUAAGUACUAACAACAGAUUGUAAGCUCCUUGAGGGUAGGGCUGGGAGGUCAGUAUGAUAGACAAACGUAUCUUGUGCAUUACCUCAUAAUACUUGGCAAGUCAUAGGUGCUUAAUAACUAUGGAUUGGAACUCUAACAAACAUGUUGCUGUUUU